Molecule: ribosomal RNA, 210 nt
Filed under: uncultured methanogenic archaeon
Lineage: Archaea; Methanobacteriati; Methanobacteriota
Description: partial 16S ribosomal RNA
Rfam family: Archaeal small subunit ribosomal RNA
Source: RNAcentral
CCGAGUGCCAGCAUUUAUGUUGGCUGUCCACAUGUGUAAACGGCAUGUGUUAGCAAGGGCCGGGCAAGACCGGUGCCAGCCGCCGCGGUAACACCGGCGGCCCGAGUGGUAAUCACUUUUAUUGGGUCUAAAGGGUCCGUAGCCGGUUUGAUCAGUUCUUCGGGAAAUCUGACAGCUCAACUGUUAGGCUUCCGGGGAAUACUGUCAGAC